AAUGAACGUUGGCGGCGUGGAUUAGGCAUGCAAGUCGAGCGUACCCAGCAAUGGGGAAGCGGCAAACGGGGUAGUAAGGCGUCGGUACGUGCCCUCGGGACGAGGAUAGCCACGGGAAACUGUGGGUAAUACUCGAUGAUCUCGUGAGAGCAAAGGCGUGAUUCCGCCAGGGGAGCGGCCGACGUGGUAUUAGGUAGUUGGUGGGGUAAUGGCCCACCAAGCCUGGGAUGCCUAGGGGGUGUGAGAGCAUGGCCCCCCACCAUUGGGACGUGAGAUACUGCCCACGACACCUACGGGUGGCUGCAGUCGAGAAUCUUCGGCGAAUGGGCGGCAAGCCUGACCGACGCGACGCCGCGUGCGGGA
RNAcentral lists this ribosomal RNA (363 nucleotides) under uncultured bacterium. RNAcentral's name for it is "bacterial SSU rRNA". It matches the Rfam family "Bacterial small subunit ribosomal RNA", at positions 28 to 408 of the family's 1533-position model. The record is from RNAcentral.